ACGAACGCUGGCGGCGUGGAUAAGACAUGCGAGUCGAGCGGGACAUUUCGGGUAGCAAUAUUCGAGAUGUCUAGCGGCGAAAGGGUGCGUAACACGUGGGUAAUCUGCCAUGAAGUUUGGAAUAACUCGCUGAAAGGCGAGCUAAUACCGGAUGUGAUCAUUGAGGGACAUCCUUUGAUGAUUAAAGUUGGGGACCGUAAGGCCUGACGCUUCAUGAUGAGCCCGCGGCCUAUCAGCUAGUUGGUGAGGUAACGGCUCACCAAGGCUAAGACGGGUAGCUGGUCUGAGAGGACGACCAGCCUCACUGGAACUGAGACACGGUCCAGACACCUACGGGUGGCAGCAGUCGAGAAUUUUUCGCAAUGGGGGAAACCCUGAUGGAGCGACGCCGCGUGGGGGAUGAAUGGCUUCGGCCCGUAAACCCCUGUCAUUCGGGAUCAAUGCCUGCGGCAUAAUACGUUGCAGGUUGAUAGUACCGGAAGAGGAAGGGACGGCUAACUCUGUGCCAGCCGCCGCGGUAA
RNAcentral lists this ribosomal RNA (521 nucleotides) under uncultured bacterium. RNAcentral describes it as "partial 16S ribosomal RNA". It matches the Rfam family "Bacterial small subunit ribosomal RNA", at positions 29 to 523 of the family's 1533-position model. The record is from RNAcentral.